Molecule: non-coding RNA, 26 nt
Filed under: Mus musculus (house mouse)
Lineage: Eukaryota; Metazoa; Chordata; Mammalia; Rodentia; Muridae
Source: RNAcentral
UAAAAAUGAUGCAGGUAUUUUGAUGC